UGGGGAAUAUUGGACAAUGGGCGAAAGCCUGAUCCAGCCAUGCCGCGUGUGUGAAGAAGGCCUUUUGGUUGUAAAGCACUUUAAGUGGGGAGGAAAAGCUUGUGGUUAAUACCCAUAAGCCCUGACGUUACCCACAGAAUAAGCACCGGCUAACUCUGUGCCAGCAGCCGCGGUAAUACAGAGGGUGCAAGCGUUAAUCGGAAUUACUGGGCGUAAAGCGCGCGUAGGUGGUUAUUUAAGUCAGAUGUGAAAGCCCCGGGCUUAACCUGGGAACUGCAUUUCAGACUGGAUAACUAGAGUAGGUGAGAGGGGAGUAGAAUUCCAGGUGUAGCGGUGAAAUGCGUAGAGAUCUGGAGGAAUACCGAUGGCGAAGGCAGCUCCCUGGCAUCAUACUGACACUGAGGUGCGAAAGCGUGGGUAGCAAACAGGAUUAGAUACCCUGGUAGUCCACGCCGUAAACGAUGUCUACCAGUCGUUGGGUCUUUUAAAGACUUAGUGACGCAGUUAACGCAAUAAGUAGACCGCCUGGGGAGUACGGCCGCAAGGUUA
This 549-nucleotide ribosomal RNA is filed under the name uncultured bacterium. Its description in RNAcentral is "bacterial SSU rRNA". It matches the Rfam family "Bacterial small subunit ribosomal RNA", at positions 355 to 896 of the family's 1533-position model. The record is from RNAcentral.